This 246-nucleotide unclassified non-coding RNA is filed under the name uncultured fungus. RNAcentral describes it as "sequence contains ITS1, 5.8S rRNA gene". The stretch from base 198 to 246 matches the Rfam family "5.8S ribosomal RNA", at positions 1 to 49 of the family's 154-position model. Lineage: Eukaryota; Fungi. The record is from RNAcentral.
UUUCCGUAGGUGAACCUGCGGAAGGAUCAUUAGUGAAUUAAACAUGCUUGGUGUCUUCGCUUCGGCAAGGCCCUUGCUUAACUCACAUCCCAACACCUGUGAACUGUAAGGCGCAUGACUAGGUUCGCCCAAGUCAUCGUCUGCCCUUUUUAACAAACAAUUAAUGUAACAAACGUAGUCUUAUUAUAACCUAAUAAAACUUUCAACAACGGAUCUCUUGGCUCUCGCAUCGAUGAAGAACGCAGC